This 95-nucleotide microRNA precursor is filed under the name Otolemur garnettii (small-eared galago). Its description in RNAcentral is "miRNA (ENSOGAG00000029634.1)". Lineage: Eukaryota; Metazoa; Chordata; Mammalia; Primates; Galagidae. The record is from RNAcentral.
AUGGUAAGCACAUAAGGGAGGGCUGUUAAAAGGCAGAUUCUGAUCUUGGUGAGGCCUGAGAUUCUGCAUUUUUAACAAGCUCCCCAGUGAUGCUA